AACCCUACCUAUUUAACAUCUCUUUCUCCUCUCUGAUUAUAUACGCACACAUACAGACAAGAUACAAAUGGAGUUCUUUGAAAACCAUAUCAACAUCACCUAAAAAGCUGGUUUAGAACAUGCUUGUUCUCUCCUCCUCCCUCAACCUCACGCAACACCCCCCCCCCCUUCUCAGAUCUUUAUGAUUUCCUUCACACACAACUCAACAUAGCCUACACCCCUCAACUCACUGAAGAACCGGUGAUUACCGACGACAAGUCCAGAAGAGAGAGAGACUUCAAGAGAGAGAGACGGCGAAGAGUUUCGGUGCCGCCGCCGCUGCGGUGGUGGUGGAUCUUCACGACGGCGGCCGUAGCCACCGUAAGAUACGGCGGUGAUGGCGGUGAGACCCGACGGCUAUUGGAGCCACGUCGGAAGCUGUACGGCGGUGGUGGUGCUCGGUCCGACAGAUUUCUUGUCACGGAUCAGGCUCGGGUUCAGCAGGUAUCAUGUUCAAGCGGAUCGGGUCAUGGUUCUAUUCAACAGAUUCAAGUUGGGUCCUGGUCGACUUAGUUCGGUGUCGGGUCAGACACACGACUCCGGCUCGGCUCGAUCAUGGUUCGGGUUCACUCCGGUCAACUUCGGGAUCGGUCAACCGGUCAAAGCAAGUCAAGGCUGGUCAAACUUAGUCAACGGUUCGGUCUCGGGUUCGGUCAAAGGCGGUCAACAGCAGAUCCGUUCGGUUUGGAGUUCAAGGAACGGGUCGACUCGGUCGAACCGAGUCAACUCGGUCAAACCCGAGUCAACUCGGGUCCACACAGUCAAACCGGUCAGCAGCAGUCAACGGAAUUGUCCGGGUUCAGAUUUUGGCUCGGGUCUUAGUUCGGUUCAAUGAGUUACGAUUCGAGUCAGAACAGGUCAGAAAGUCAACAAAAGUCAACUGGUCAAACCCCAGUCAACGGCAGUCAAAUGAUCGGCCACGAGACUCGGUAAAAGUUAAACAUAGAAUACCAUAUAUGCACGCUAGCUAACACACGUUCUUGGAACGACACUAUGGAAUGCACUUUAAGCUAGCUUUGCACAUGGAAAUCCAGGUUGCAUUUUCAAAAAUAUGGAACGGUUGGAAUAGGAGAACCCAUGGUGAUUUGAGUACUUAGCGGGCAUUCACUGUUUAGAAGUCUUAGCUUAUUUGCUUCCGCUGUGCAAUGAAGAUACCGGUCCAGUCACGCCAGCUCUGAUUUUUCUGGGUGUGACAGAUUGGUAUCAGAGCCAUAGGUUUCAGCGAAUUAGGUUUCUGUAGAGAUACCUAGGCUUUAACCUCACUUUCCUCUAGGGACGUAGAUUUUUAAGACUUAAAACACAUACAGAACGCCUAGUACUCGAAUAUGGGUUCCAACCAUUUCCAAAACAAUGAGUCAACAGUUUUGGUUUUUAAACAUGCACAAGAGUUAUGUUUGAUACACGAUACACGGAACGAUUACAUAGUGUAAGCAAAACCUUGAGUGUUUUGAUAACAUGCUUCUAGGACCUUUAGAGAAUUUAUGUCAAAAUCCAUAAAAGGUCAAUACGUAGGAACUGCGACUAUUAACUCGGGCAAGCGCCAUUACCUAUGUUGUCUAUGCUAUUUUAGUUACCCAAGCAGGUAACCUACGUGGAACGAAACGCUAUUGCACAACUAUAUGUGAAGCAUAAACUAUACGUCAGCGGACGUCGGAGUACAUCACACACGACUUUCGAGGUAAUGCCUUUGGAGAACACACUUGGGCACGACAACAAUGAUGCUAAUUCUGUCAGCAAGAGAAUUACUGCUCGAAAUGCGGCAAUUUGCCACGUAAUCCUGCAAGCAACACGAAUCACGCCGAGGUACGCUUAAACAAGAUUUCAUAACGAUCGAUACUUAGUCUAAUGAGACUCACAACUACUAGCGCCGCAAAAGAAGUCACAUGCCUCCGCAUUCCCCCUACUUCAUUCAUGGCGAUUAUGCUAUGUACAACAUUCUAUGGUAAUGUCACAUAACAACCAAUCAUCACGUGAACUUCCAGGUAAAGUCCUUAAAUUUGUUUUGUUGAAAUUUUGACUUCUUACAUAUAGUGAGUAGAUUUUUGCAUUUCUACUCCCCCCUAAUGAUCGUUGCACCACAAAGAUUUUCUUCCAUGAUAGCAAACACUCGAUUGUUUUAUUUUUGAUGAAUUCAUAUCUUGGUUUAAAAAAGCGCGCUUGAAGCGCGCUUGAGGCGAUGAAGCGAUGAAGCGAUCGGAAAAACGCUUUUUUGGCUCUGAAGCGCUGCAUUACAUGAAGCGAGCUGAAGCGAGCUUUAAGCGGUGAAGCGUUGAAGCUGUGAAGCGACGCUCCAGCCAAUCAGAUCACUAUUUGGGCCAUUUUUUAAGCGACAAAUUCCGGCGACGGAGUUGCUUUCAGCCGGAAACCAGGAAGAAGGGGGAAGAAGAAGAAGAGAGAUGCUGACGGCUGCGUAUAUGUCUUUUAGGUUUUUAGGGUUUUUAUAAGUUAAGGUUUUUAAACAUUUAACCCCUCUAUCUUUCAUUAGUUUACAUUCAGUCCCUAAAACUUCUAACUUUUUACUUAAAAAGUGUAAAGAUAGUUUGUCUAUUUAAACAUUUAACCCCCUUUAUCUUCAGUAGUUACAUUUGGUCCUUAAACUUUUUAAUUUAUGCAUAAAAGUACAAAAUUAACAUUAUAAAAUACAUAUAUAUAAUAUGGAUAGCUAUUUUUUAUACAUAUAUAUAAAAUUAACAUUAUAUAUAAUUAUAUAUAAUAUGGAGCGCUUCGUAUACGUGAGCUCUCGCUUCGCGCUUGAAGCUUCGCUUAAAGCUUUUGGAACCAAAAUGCUUCGGAGCGCUUCGCGCUUUUUUAAACCAAGAUUCAUAUGUACGCAUGCAUUGUUUUUCGCGCAUGUGGUUCGUUGAUCCGUGAAGACCAUUAGAGGGCUUCACUCCAAAUUGUCGUUUUAUCAAAGCUCAAAUAUCGUUCGCUAUACUUGAUCUUUGCAUUGUGAUCUAGAUGACCCGCAUUGUUGUGAAGUGUUGACUUUUUGAUAUCGAGUCAACGAACUAGUUGAAACUCUUUUCUUUUGUGUUACAUUACAUGGUUUGUUCAUUGCAACCAUUUCGAAAUUCUAUUGUCAACACAUGCAUUCAUCGUUCAAAUGUGACUAAACCAAGUUCAAUUGUUUGAACUUGCUCGUAAUAUUCGAUUCAAGAUUCCAUAUGAUGGAUUGAGGCCAUCAUAUUCAAAAUAAUCCCAACGAGCCCUUCAAUUGCGUUGAACCAUAACAGGCUUGUUUGGUUUUCGACUUCAUUGUAUCAUUUCUUUGAUCACGAUCACCUUGUGGUGGCGUAUUUCACAAGUUUGAAGCUUGCGCUAAUCUCGUUGCUCACAUCAUGCACGGAUUUCAUUAUUAAAUUAUUUAUUUGUUUAUUGAUAUUAAAUCCGCUUAUUUGAUUUCUUGUAUUAAAUCAGUCUCAUUGCAAUUGUGUGGUAAGAUAAUGGUACCUAAGUUCGUGUUAAAUAUUCCGGUGUACCUCUUAACGGUUCUUCCGUCAUCGAUCGAACAUUCUGUGAUAUUUAUUGCUUUCCAUCCUCGAUCGAAAACAUUACUUAUUUGUUUCAUUUUCAAUUGAAAAUCCUAUGGGAUUUGUUGGAGCAAAUAUUCAUAAUUACUUCGUUAAACCUUUCAUCUGAUUUCAACACGGUGAUACUUGUUCGAUCACCGCUAUCAUUGAAUUAUUUCAAUAACUACGACACCUUGUGGCGUCGGUAUAAACUUGUAGCUUGUGCUAAUCACGAUCAGCCGUCUCAUGCGAAAUUAUAUAUGCUUUUCGUUUGACACAUCAUUUAAGUAGUCUUGAUGCAACUAUGUAUUAAGACAAUGAUACACCAGGUUCAGUUGUAUCUCAUUUCGGUGUAUCCUUGCAACUUAACAAUGUCAAAACAUUGAUUUUAUCUUAUUCAUUUAUUGGUCCAGUAGUUGACAAAUCAUUUCAUGAUUCUAUCUAUUUGAACUUGUCGAUUCGAGUUUUCAAUCAUACAACAACCAACGCAAGUUUCCGUUGGUAGAAAAUUCGACUGUUCCAAAAUUGAUUUGCAUAUUACGAACGUUCAUUUGGAAUUCUAUUGGUCGAGAUUCCUCUUUUGUCGAAUCCCGUAAAUUUGAUCGCAUUGGUGAUAGUAUCAUUACGCUUCGUUCACUUGACAUCGAUUUCUGGAACAAACUCAGUUGAACCGUUGGGUUCUUAUUGAUUCAAAAUGUCUUUACACUCACGUAAUCCGAAUAAGUCUUGAUUCGGUUACGCAGUCACUCACUUUGUUAUUAUUCGGACUUACCUAGGAACGACAUAACUCUGAGGAGAUAACAUAGACUAAAUUUCGAGGACGAAAUUUCUGCAACAGGGGGAGAAUGUGACAACCGGUAAUUAACGGCUUCUAAUAACGUGAUUAACAAAUGUUUAAGGCAAUAAUAAAUAGUGUUUAAGGCACGAAUUAACUUAAUUAGGCUAUUGGAAUGCCUAGGAACACCUAUUCGACUUUACAGUACGCGAAUGAUAAUCCACGGAGAAUCUGCGUAACGAUAAACGAUAACGAACUGAUGCCGUACAAAAUACUGGCCACGCCGACAAAUAUGAAGUUUAUACGUAUUACUUAUAGUUAUGAAUAUGGUUAUAAAAAAAUGCAUUUAAACAUGAUUAUAUAAUAUAUGGAUUUAACAUGUAUCUACAAUAAUAAAGAUUUAGCUUUUUCUUUUUCAAAAUACCUAAUGUAUACGUGUGUGUAUACAAUUCUAUAUGAUUAAUUUAUAUGGUCCCUAUAUAUUUCAAUUGAGUAAAUAAUAUUUCAACCAAAAUACAAUAGUUUUAUCUAAACAAUUAUCUGUCAUAUAUUAGAUCACCAUUCCAUACUCUAGACUAUUUAUUAUAUAAAAUAUCAUCCCUUAUACCUCAUGAUUCCAUAUCUUUGGCCACAAAUCUUUGUCUGACAAAAAGUAAUG
Helianthus annuus (common sunflower) is the source of this 4981-nucleotide long non-coding RNA. RefSeq lists it as uncharacterized. The record is from RefSeq and is a predicted model, not a curated record. The transcript is spliced from 4 exons. Lineage: Eukaryota; Viridiplantae; Streptophyta; Magnoliopsida; Asterales; Asteraceae.